This is a long non-coding RNA of Zalophus californianus (California sea lion), 383 nucleotides long. RefSeq lists it as uncharacterized. The record is from RefSeq and is a predicted model, not a curated record. The transcript has 3 exons. Lineage: Eukaryota; Metazoa; Chordata; Mammalia; Carnivora; Otariidae.
CACAGACACUCCUUCCCUUGGUAGACCUUACUUGAUUGCUUGGAGGUAGACAGAACCACAUGGAUGACCAUACCUUUGAGAAGAAGAUAUUAGUGACAUCCUCAUUUUUCCUGCUGAUUCCAAGAAGCAAGAACACCUUCUCAGGACGAUGGGAGGGCCUCAGAUCACCUCUGGAGUCAGGGAAAUGAGACAAAUCCUGUCCGGGAAUAAGUACUGAAUACCUUCAAUAUCUGGAUGUGGAUGGAAAGAGUAAAAUAUAGCAGAGGUACAUCUAAGUUGUGGGAAGUGGGGGCAGAACAUUAGAAAAAAGCCAAUAAUGAAAGUAAGGAUUAAGAGAGAAAUUGAAACACAAAAGCUAGUAGAGGGCAGGUUGUCCUGUCAGG